Molecule: ribosomal RNA, 549 nt
Filed under: uncultured bacterium
Lineage: Bacteria
Description: bacterial SSU rRNA
Rfam family: Bacterial small subunit ribosomal RNA
Source: RNAcentral
AAUAGAUACCCCGGUAGUCCAUGCCGUAAACGUUGGGAACUAGAUGUAGGGCCUGUUCCACGGGUUCUGUGUCGUAGCUAACGCAUUAAGUUCCCCGCCUGGGGAGUACGGCCGCAAGGCUAAAACUCAAAGGAAUUGACGGGGGCCCGCACAAGCGGCGGAGCAUGCGGAUUAAUUCGAUGCAACGCGAAGAACCUUACCAAGGCUUGACAUAUAGCAGAACGCUCUAGAAAUAGAGAACUCUUUGGACACUGUUAUACAGGUGGUGCAUGGUUGUCGUCAGCUCGUGUCGUGAGAUGUUCGGUUAAGUCCGGCAACGAGCGCAACCCUCGUCCUAUGUUACCAGCGGUUCGGCCGGGAACUCAUGGGAUACUGCCGUGGUCAACACGGAGGAAGGUGGGGAUGACGUCAAAUCGAUCAUGCCCCUUAUGUCUUGGGCUUCACGCAUGCUACAAUGGCCGGUACAAAGGGCGCGAUACCGUAAGGUGGAGCGAAUCCCAAAAAGCCGGUUUCGAGUUCGGAUUGGGGUCUGCAACUCGACCCCAUGAA